GACGAACGCUGGCGGCGUGCUUAACACAUGCGAGUCGAACGGAAAGGCCCUGCUUUUGUGGGGUGCUCGAGUGGCGAACGGGUGAGUAACACGUGAGUAACCUGCCCUUGACUUUGGGAUAACUUCAGGAAACUGGGGCUAAUACCGGAUAGGAGCUCCUGCUGCAUGGUGGGGGUUGGAAAGUUUCGGCGGUUGGGGAUGGACUCGCGGCUUAUCAGCUUGUUGGUGGGGUAGUGGCUACCAAGGCUUUGACGGGUAGCCGGCCUGAGAGGGUGACCGGCCACAUUGGGACUGAGAUACGGCCCAGACUCCUACGGGAGGCAGCAGUGGGGAAUAUUGCACAAUGGGCGGAAGCCUGAUGCAGCAACGCCGCGUGCGGGAUGACGGCCUUCGGGUUGUAAACCGCUUUCGCCUGUGACGAAGCGUGAGUGACGGUAAUGGGUAAAGAAGCACCGGCUAACUACGUG
RNAcentral lists this ribosomal RNA (467 nucleotides) under uncultured bacterium. Its description in RNAcentral is "partial 16S ribosomal RNA". It matches the Rfam family "Bacterial small subunit ribosomal RNA", at positions 28 to 507 of the family's 1533-position model. The record is from RNAcentral.